RNAcentral lists this ribosomal RNA (545 nucleotides) under Epicoccum nigrum. RNAcentral describes it as "eukaryotic LSU rRNA". The stretch from base 174 to 327 matches the Rfam family "5.8S ribosomal RNA". The record is from RNAcentral. Lineage: Eukaryota; Fungi; Ascomycota; Dothideomycetes; Pleosporales; Didymellaceae.
UCCGUAGGUGAACCUGCGGAAGGAUCAUUACCUAGAGUUUGUAGACUUCGGUCUGCUACCUCUUACCCAUGUCUUUUGAGUACCUUCGUUUCCUCGGCGGGUCCGCCCGCCGAUUGGACAACAUUCAAACCCUUUGCAGUUGCAAUCAGCGUCUGAAAAAACAUAAUAGUUACAACUUUCAACAACGGAUCUCUUGGUUCUGGCAUCGAUGAAGAACGCAGCGAAAUGCGAUAAGUAGUGUGAAUUGCAGAAUUCAGUGAAUCAUCGAAUCUUUGAACGCACAUUGCGCCCCUUGGUAUUCCAUGGGGCAUGCCUGUUCGAGCGUCAUUUGUACCUUCAAGCUCUGCUUGGUGUUGGGUGUUUUGUCUCGCCUCUGCGUGUAGACUCGCCUUAAAACAAUUGGCAGCCGGCGUAUUGAUUUCGGAGCGCAGUACAUCUCGCGCUUUGCACUCAUAACGACGACGUCCAAAAGUACAUUUUUACACUCUUGACCUCGGAUCAGGUAGGGAUACCCGCUGAACUUAAGCAUAUCAAUAAGCGGAGGA